This is a long non-coding RNA of Myzus persicae (green peach aphid), 174 nucleotides long. RefSeq lists it as uncharacterized. The record is from RefSeq and is a predicted model, not a curated record. NCBI's taxonomy places the organism in Eukaryota, Metazoa, Arthropoda, Insecta, Hemiptera, Aphididae. The transcript is spliced from 2 exons.
AUAAUACGUAUCUCUAUAUCACAUGUAAUAUCACGUAACUUAACAUAAACACAUGCGUUGAAAAGUUGACUGAUUGAAGACCUUAUUACUUUACAGUUUAACAACAGGCACAAUGGCGAGACGCAGAUUACAACUAAUGAUGGACUUGUCUGGUGUAAAUAGUAAUAAUAAUUU